Molecule: transfer RNA, 73 nt
Filed under: Camponotus floridanus (Florida carpenter ant)
Lineage: Eukaryota; Metazoa; Arthropoda; Insecta; Hymenoptera; Formicidae
Rfam family: tRNA
About the family: Transfer RNA (tRNA) molecules are approximately 80 nucleotides in length. Their secondary structure includes four short double-helical elements and three loops (D, anti-codon, and T loops).
Source: Rfam by way of RNAcentral
AUCUGGGUAGCUCAGUGGUCUAGAGCAAUUGCCCGGAAAGCGAAAGACUCGGGUUCGAUUCCCGAUCCAGCCA